GAUGAACGCUGGCGGCGUGCCUAAUACAUGCAAGUCGAGCGAACAGACGAGGAGCUUGCUCCUCUGACGUUAGCGGCGGACGGGUGAGUAACACGUGGAUAACCUACCUAUAAGACUGGGAUAAUUUCGGGAAACCGGAGCUAAUACCGGAUAAUAUAUUGAACCGCAUGGUUCAAUAGUGAAAGACGGUUUUGCUGUCACUUAUAGAUGGAUCCGCGCCGCAUUAGCUAGUUGGUAAGGUAACGGCUUACCAAGGCAACGAUGCGUAGCCGACCUGAGAGGGUGAUCGGCCACACUGGAACUGAGACACGGUCCAGACUCCUACGGGAGGCAGCAGUAGGGAAUCUUCCGCAAUGGGCGAAAGCCUGACGGAGCAACGCCGCGUGAGUGAUGAAGGUCUUCGGAUCGUAAAACUCUGUUAUUAGGGAAGAACAAAUGUGUAAGUAACUAUGCACGUCUUGACGGUACCUAAUCAGAAAGCCACGGCUAACUACAUG
RNAcentral lists this ribosomal RNA (497 nucleotides) under uncultured bacterium. RNAcentral's name for it is "partial 16S ribosomal RNA". It matches the Rfam family "Bacterial small subunit ribosomal RNA", at positions 28 to 507 of the family's 1533-position model. The record is from RNAcentral.